RNAcentral lists this ribosomal RNA (392 nucleotides) under uncultured bacterium. RNAcentral's name for it is "bacterial SSU rRNA". It matches the Rfam family "Bacterial small subunit ribosomal RNA", at positions 509 to 899 of the family's 1533-position model. The record is from RNAcentral.
CAGCAGCCGCGGUAAUACGGAGGGUGCGAGCGUUGUUCGGAUUUAUUGGGCGUAAAGCGCGUGUAGGCGGUUUCUUAAGUCUGAUGUGAAAGCCCCGGGCUCAACCUGGGAAGUGCAUUGGAUACUGGGAGACUUGAGUACGGGAGAGGGUAGUGGAAUUCCCAGUGUAGGAGUGAAAUCCGUAGAUAUUGGGAGGAACACCGGUGGCGAAGGCGGCUACCUGGACCGAUACUGACGCUGAGACGCGAAAGCGUGGGGAGCAAACGGGAUUAGAUACCCUGGUAGUCCACGCCGUAAACGAUGAGAACUAGGUGUUGCGGGUAUUGACCCCUGCAGUGCCGCAGCUAACGCACUAAGUUCUCCGCCUGGGAAGUACGGUCGCAAGACUAAAA